AGGGCACCACCAGGAGUGGAGCCUGCGGCUCAAUUUGACUCAACACGGGAAAACUCACCCGGCCCGGACACUGGAAGGAUUGACAGAUUGAGAGCUCUUUCUUGAUUCAGUGGGUGGUGGUGCAUGGCCGUUCUUAGUUGGUGGAGUGAUUUGUCUGGUUAAUUCCGAUAACGAACGAGACUCUAGCCUACUAAAUAGAUCGUCGGCUUACAAACGCCGGCGAGACUUCUUAGAGGGACAGGCGGUGAUUCAACCGCACGAAACAGAGCAAUAACAGGUCUGUGAUGCCCUUAGGUGUCCGGGGCCGCACGCGCGCUACACUGAAGUGAUCAGCGUGCUUUUUCAACCUACUCUGUCAAGAGUGGGGAACCCAAUGAACCUUCUUCGUGAUUGGGAUAGGGGAUUGUAAUUAUUCCCCUUGAACGAGGAAUUCCCAGUAAGCGCGAGUCAUAAGCUCGCGUUGAUUACGUCCCUGCCCUUUGUACACACCGCCCGUCGCUACUACCGAUUGAAUGUUUU
This 519-nucleotide ribosomal RNA is filed under the name uncultured eukaryote. RNAcentral's name for it is "SSU rRNA". It matches the Rfam family "Eukaryotic small subunit ribosomal RNA", at positions 1161 to 1699 of the family's 1831-position model. The record is from RNAcentral.